This 253-nucleotide ribosomal RNA is filed under the name uncultured bacterium. RNAcentral's name for it is "partial 16S ribosomal RNA". It matches the Rfam family "Bacterial small subunit ribosomal RNA", at positions 524 to 776 of the family's 1533-position model. The record is from RNAcentral.
UACGUAGGGGGCUAGCGUUGUCCGGAAUCAUUGGGCGUAAAGAGCGUGUAGGCGGCCAGGUAGGUCCGCUGUGAAAGUCCGAGGCUCAACCUCGGAAUGUCGGCGGAAACCCUCUGGCUAGAGUCCGGAAGAGGAGAGUGGAAUUCCCGGUGUAGCGGUGAAAUGCGCAGAUAUCGGGAAGAACACCCGUGGCGAAGGCGGCUCUCUGGAACGGUACUGACGCUGAGACGCGAAAGCGUGGGGAGCGAACAGG